Long non-coding RNA from Helianthus annuus (common sunflower), 849 nucleotides. RefSeq lists it as uncharacterized. NCBI's taxonomy places the organism in Eukaryota, Viridiplantae, Streptophyta, Magnoliopsida, Asterales, Asteraceae. The transcript has 6 exons. The record is from RefSeq and is a predicted model, not a curated record.
UGUCAAUCAACUGGUCAAUCGUGUUAAUUAGUUCAAACAAGCUGCUACAUCUGCUGAUCCCAAGUCUUGAUAUCCAUAUAUUCCAGAGGAACAUGGCUGCAGCCUUAAUAUAUGUGGGAUCACAACCACCAUCACCAUUUUUUUAAAUCGUGGCUGCACUCGGGUUUCCCUUUGGUUCAACUGGGCUUGAGCCACGACCGCCACAGCAAAGAACGAUAAUCAUGAUCCAAGACAAGUGCAGCAGCCUCAUAGUUCUCAUGAUCCAAGAAAUUUAUGGUUAAGAAAAAGAUCACCGGCUGUGGUCAUUGCGUAUUUGAUGAAGAGCAGAAGCUGGACUUUUGAUCAGAGUUACCAAUGGGUGAAAGAACGCAGACCGUCUGUUGACUUAAACAAAGUGCUUGUUAUCAGACGGUGGAGCGCCGUUUAGCUUGGGGUUCACAAACCAAACCAACGUUCAACCAGCCUUCCAAGAUUUCGUACCAUAACUAAUCGGAUCGUUUGGCAUGCCUGCAGCAACACCUGCUAGAAAGAUAGGCGCCUGGUACGCCUCUGUUUCCUUCACUACAAAUGGAAUCACAAAAAAUUGUCAGGGCCCAAACAGGAACAUCUAAAGUCCGCCCUACUGCACUAAAGUCUCGACUAUCAAAUUCCCAACCAGAGGCUAUAAACAGGAAUGGUAUGAUAUCUAGACAGCAAGUGCCAUCUUCCGGAUUAAAUACAUCAAGUAUCGGCAGGAAUGGUAUGAUAUCCAGACUAGCGAGCCAACGAUGGUUUAGACGUGUUCAGGCAAGAUUACGGCCACCAGAAAAUGGUUCGUGUUAGGGUUUUUCGAUGCCACACCUCAACAUC